GGGGAAAGUCUGUUAAGAAUUAAAAAAUCCAUAGCUAACAUCCAUUUUAAAAUUAUCCAGGGAGAAAUUCAAUCAUGGACUGAGGUUUUCCUGUUUUGGAUUGAUGAAUAAAAAGGCUUGGGCUUUGAAACCCAGCCAACUUUGUGAUGUCAAACACAUCCUCUCCUUGGUGGUGCUGCAGCCCUCACCAACACAGACUCCUCAACGCCCUGUUGCUGCAAAGCCGAGCUGAAGCGCACUGGGGAGCAGAGAAGGUGCUCGGACCCAGGCAAGCAGGGGGCAGACAAAUAAGUCUUAAAAAUAGGAGGGGAAGAGGGGAAGACAGAGAAAUCCUGGAUCACUGCUUGGGACAGACAUACUUGUCAAACAAACCCCAUUCUGUUGAGGCUCAAUCUCUCCUGCUCUUUGCAGAGCAGAGAGGACAAGCAAGCCAUGAGGGUGUAUCUCUCCGCCACACUGGCCAUACUCCAGGUGGGCUCCCAAGACUGUUGCCUGCCUGCUUCCCACUCUCCUUGUUUGUUCCUCUUCCGCAAAAAUGAACGUCUGUCCAAACAGUCUCCUGGGCGAGACUUGUGAAGCAGGAGAAUAGAGCCGCAGUGCAGUCUUCAGUGGAGGUGAAACACAUCCAGAAAUUUUCCAUCUGCCUCACCAAGGAAGAUUACCUGAGGAUGGACUGUGUGCCUACAUGCAGCUCUGUGCCUUACUUCUGCUCCUUCUUGGAGAACGGGAUGCUGAUCGGCAGCACGGACCCAGGGAGGUUACCACACCCCAGCUACAAGCUCAGGUCUAACCUCACUGUGGCUGCGGAUGGCUCAUGUCGCCUCACUGUGACCGAGCAGCUGGGCCUGGCCAACAAGACCUACUUCUGCUCCUUGCAGAUAAAGAAGAAGUUGAAGAAGGUGAACAGACACAAAGACGCGCAGAGAAGGACAGGAACCUCAAACAUAACUCUGAACAACGGGACUCUCCCCCGAUGCUCGGGGCCCUCUGCGCCCCACGCGCUCCUCCAGGAGUUGAUGCUGCUCGUGCUGCUGUCCACGCAUGUGGCAGCUGAGCUCCUGUGAGCCGGAUACGCGCUGCCCCUCCGGGCUGGGAAAUCAGUCUGCUACCACACUCGGCGGCCAUCAGUAAAUCUUUCCCUCUUCACGCCUGUACAUGCAGGAACAGUCCAGAAAUGUGAACCUUGUUUUGUCAGAAAAUUCCCAGAUUUGUCCAUGUGUGCUUCCCUAAAUGGACAAACGAACAAACUGUCAAACAGGUUUCCCUUGACCUGAAGUGUGAUAGUAGCCUCAUGUUCUUGUAAAUAUUAUGACUUAAGAAAGGCAAUAUCUGCAAAAGUUAAAGUUAUGAAAGUAUUCAUUGGUUGUGGCUUUUAAAGCUCUCCUUUAUAGAUUUAUAUGUUGAUCCUAGAGAAACUGUUUUAAGGUGCAGAUAAACAGACUGUUUUUUCUAGAUUAGUAUUUGUGUUGCUUUUCCACAAUAGCAAGUUUAUAGGUUGCAGACUGACGUGUAAAAAUGAAAUCAUAAAUGACACUUGCCUAAUGGCACUUCUGCUAAUUCUAACUUGCUUCAGUUAGAAUACCAGAACAAACACGGCUGUUGUGGGCAGCUAGUGUCGAAAUCAUAGCUGUGUCACCUUGUGGUCAUUGCUGUUUUUUGUCAAUACUUUUCACAGAAUCCACAUUCUCCUCAGCCUGCAUAUAUUUAGUCCUUAAACUAGCAGUAGACUUUCAGAUAAUUGUGCAUGAGGAAAUACUAGGGUUUAUUUCAAGUAGGAGAUAAGAUAUGUACUAGACUCAAGAGUGUCACAACCCUUACCAGGAGUAAUUGUUUUGGGUUUUUUUGGAUAAUGGAUAUAACCAUUAAAAGCUUUGGUUUAUAAGAAUCCUUCCAUUUUCAAACCGCUUCUUCCAAUUCAGGUUUGCGAGGGAGCUAGUGCCUAUUCCCAGCAAGCAUGCUGUUGCAAAAAGCAUGUUGCUAUUGCAAUUAUAAAAGCUUUUAACACAUUAAUAAAAAUAGCUGGACUGAUCUUUGAAAGCCUUGCUUGAUGUUUCCCACUUCAAGAUGUCUCUUUCCUGAAUCUCUGAUGACUUCUUAAACCAUAAGAAUCCUUGACAGUGACCAGACUCCUGCAUUUAGACACUGAACGCAACACUAGGGGUAGUCAACAGUACCUGCGUGGCACUAUGCGAGGGGUGAGAUCUAAAACAGGGGCUCAG
This 2219-nucleotide long non-coding RNA is filed under the name Lepisosteus oculatus (spotted gar). RNAcentral describes it as "lncRNA (ENSLOCG00000022821.1)". The record is from RNAcentral. Lineage: Eukaryota; Metazoa; Chordata; Actinopteri; Semionotiformes; Lepisosteidae.